Molecule: non-coding RNA, 717 nt
Filed under: Orthoscuticella innominata
Lineage: Eukaryota; Metazoa; Bryozoa; Gymnolaemata; Cheilostomatida; Catenicellidae
Source: RNAcentral
AAUUAGUUUUACUCUGGCUUUCGUUAAAUUAAACCAAUUUCUGUGCAUGCAAAUACUAGUAAAUUUUAAAAAUAAAAUAGCAGUACAUAAAAUUACACAAUUAGUGAAAACUAGAUGAAAAAAAGGUUUUAAAGAUAGAAAAAAUUGUGCCAGCAUCUGCGGUUAUACAAUUAUCUUAAAUUUAAUAUAUAGGAAAUUAAAAAAAAAAGAAAAUUACAAUAUUUGGUACAAUAAAUAAAUAAUAUAUCUUUUUUUUUUAAAGUGAAAUUCUCAUAUAGAACUAGGAUUAGAUACCCUACUACUACUGACCGUAAAUUAGUAAAUAAACCAGGGCAUUACAAGCUAUGCUUAAAACCUAAAGAGUUUGGCGGCUUUUUUUUUCCAGGGGAGCUUGUCUUUUAAACGAUAAUCCGCGAUAAUUCUCACUUAUUAAAAAGUUUGUAUACCUCCGUUAAGUUAAUAUUAAAAAUAAAAAUAAUUAGCUCAAAUAAAAAAUUAAACCUCAGGUAAAGGUGCAACCAAUAAAUAAGCUAAUGAUGAGCUACUUUAAUAUAUUAAUAGAUAUUUUUUAUAAAUAAAAAAAAAAACAGUACUUGGUAGUAAUUUUUUUUUAAAAUAAUAAAAUGAAUAAAAUAAAAAAAGUGCACAAAUCGCCCGUCAAUUCCAUCAUUCAAUGGAAUAAGUCGUAACAAAGUAGGCGUACCUGAAGGUGUGCCU